Long non-coding RNA from Scaptodrosophila lebanonensis, 167 nucleotides. RefSeq lists it as uncharacterized. The record is from RefSeq and is a predicted model, not a curated record. NCBI's taxonomy places the organism in Eukaryota, Metazoa, Arthropoda, Insecta, Diptera, Drosophilidae. The transcript has 2 exons.
CCUGCCCUUAAAAUAUCAACAUGAAACUAAUUUCGUUCAUUGCCAUGGCCAUAGUCUUGCUCUUUCAAGGAGACCAGAAAGCUGUUGUGAUUAUGAGAAAAUAAAAUGUAUUGUGCUACAUGCUAAUAAAUGAAAGUUUAGCCACAACUUUUUCUGUACAAUAAAAA